UAAAGCUAGCAAGUGAACUUAUUUCAAUAACCCAAUGUGGCCAGGAGAAGCACACUCAAUGAAAGUAGAGAAGAUUUUGUACAAGGAUAAAUCAGAGUACCAAGAAAUCCUGGUUUUUGAGUCCUCAACAUAUGGGAAAGUUCUUGUGCUUGAUGGCAUUGUUCAGUUGACUGAGAAAGAUGAAUUUGUCUAUCAGGAGAUGAUAACUCAUCUUCUCCUUUGUU
Molecule: non-coding RNA, 224 nt
Organism: Camellia sinensis
Lineage: Eukaryota; Viridiplantae; Streptophyta; Magnoliopsida; Ericales; Theaceae
Source: RefSeq, a predicted model, not a curated record